RNAcentral lists this ribosomal RNA (377 nucleotides) under uncultured eukaryote. RNAcentral's name for it is "partial 18S ribosomal RNA". It matches the Rfam family "Eukaryotic small subunit ribosomal RNA", at positions 592 to 976 of the family's 1831-position model. The record is from RNAcentral.
CAAUAGCGUAUAUUUAAGUUGCUGCAGUUAAAAAGCUCGUAGUUGGAUUUCGGGUGGGAAUGGCCGGUCCGCCGUUUCGGUGUGCACUUGCUACGCCCACCUUGCUGCCGGGGACGUGCUCUUGAGUUCACGCUCGGGACACGGAGUCGGCGAGGUUACUUUGAGUAAAUUAGAGUGUUCAAAGCAGGCCUACGCUCUGAAUACAUUAGCAUGGAACAACACGAUAGGACUCUGGCCUAUCUUGUUGGUCUGUAGGACCGGAGUAAUGAUUAAGAGGGACAGUCGGGGGCAUUCGUAUUUCAUUGUCAGAGGUGGAAUUCUUGGAUUUAUGAAAGACGAACUACUGCGAAAGCAUUUGCCAAGGAUGUUUUCAUUAA